Long non-coding RNA from Columba livia (rock pigeon), 1426 nucleotides. RefSeq lists it as uncharacterized. The transcript has 3 exons. Lineage: Eukaryota; Metazoa; Chordata; Aves; Columbiformes; Columbidae. The record is from RefSeq and is a predicted model, not a curated record.
CUCUGUGUCUCUUGAGAUUUCUUAGGAACUUUCAAAUUAUAUGUUUUUGAUAGGAGCCAAAAACUGUAGGAAGGGCUCUAUUUCACCAUCUCUCCAAGUUCAGUAGUUGCCUGGGGAAGAAAAUGAACUCCCAAAGUGCAAACUUCAUGUUUUCAAAGCUGGAAGAGUCAUGUUUCAAUGAUUCUGUGAGUGAAUACUAAUUUACUUUUUUUUUUUUUUUCCUUUUAAAUCCAAAAGGGAAAUUAAAUGCUUCCAAACUGUAAAAGGGAACUUUUUCUGACAUUAAUUCUAUUUCUCCAUGAUAAAUUCUUGAGGCUUUUGAAAUUUUUACUUUGGGUUAGGGAAAUAAUCUGAAACCUUGAAACCCCUCGAGAGCUGAGAAAACCUUUUUCUACCUAGGCUUUCAGGGCGUGAGCCCACAAUGGCACCACAUGGGUAUUUGUCUCCCUCCUGUGGUUUAUUCUAUGAGAUUAGAUACAAUCCUGCUCCACCUGUUUGCUAAAGCCAUUAGAGCUUCCAACAAAGUGGAAGAAACAUCUUCAGUGGGUGUCCUGUGUGACUAUCCUAUAUGCAAACUUUGUCAGCAACCUCAGUGCUGAGUGACAACCCAGUUUGUCAUUAAUAGUGAAAACCAUUAUGGGAGUCAAGCAGGCUCCGCACAGCACAGAGUUAUUUUCAGCUGGGACUGGCCUCUGUUUACAUCUUUUCCAGCUGUAACAAGGAGGGGGCUCCUGAAGCCAACACAUUCAGAGGAAGGCAGUAGAAACCACUGUGUGGAUCAGCCUUUUUCAUCUCGCAACUACCACCUCGGUCAGCAGCAUUUUUCCCCCACUGAGCACACACAUGGAUGUACCGCAGGCUGCAGCAGCCAGGAAUGGCACAUUACCAAGGCUGUCAUGAGAGCCAGGUUGGAUUUUGGAAUGUGGGCAGAAACCUGCAUGGAGGUAAAGGGGCACAUGCCCGAAAGAAGAGCAUUGAGCUCACCAGGGGAGCUCGUGCCUGGUGCUUGGGCUGGAUGCAGAGCCAGGCAUGGGGAUGAGACCCUUCUGGAUGGGCUUACUGGCACAUCCCUGAAGAGACAGCAGGCAUGUGUGGGAGCUGGACUAUGACUGAGAUGGUGGCUGAUGACCUGCUGUUAGAUUUCUUUAAGAAGCUAAGUUCAGCAACCCUUCUGAUGUGGCAGACUUUUAGCACAGGAAAUUUAAAAAUAUUUUUUGAUUGGAAAACAAAAAUAAUGUAAUAAAAAUAAUAUUUUAAAACUUUUUUUGUUUUCUCUGCCUUCUCUUAUGUUUCUGCUCCUUGUUUACAACUUGGAAGAAAAGGAACCAGAUUCUUUCACCCUGUGAAAGGUUUAACACAGGUUAAAGCAGCAGCUUAGGAUUUUUCUUCAGUAAUAACCAGAAAACAAAGCUAAAUCCUUUUACAA